RNAcentral lists this transfer RNA (23 nucleotides) under Canis lupus laniger (Tibetan wolf). RNAcentral describes it as "partial tRNA-Thr". The record is from RNAcentral. Lineage: Eukaryota; Metazoa; Chordata; Mammalia; Carnivora; Canidae.
GUCUUUGUAGUAUAAUCAUUACC